RNAcentral lists this long non-coding RNA (1837 nucleotides) under Theobroma cacao (cacao). RNAcentral's name for it is "long non-coding RNA (TCAC_LNC003827)". Lineage: Eukaryota; Viridiplantae; Streptophyta; Magnoliopsida; Malvales; Malvaceae. The record is from RNAcentral.
AAAAGACUAAAAGUAUCAAAAGCGGUAACCCUACAGUUUUUUAGGAUGCAAGUCCAACUGUAGUCCUUAACAAAUGAGCUAUCUACCGACUAUCCUGAGCCUGAAAUGGUUGAAAAGGAGAGUGGUGAGAUUAUAUAAUCCCAGUGAGUAAAUAAAUAUCAUCUAAAAUAUCUAAAGCCAAGUAAAUGGAGAUAGAUAAAAUAGUUUAACAUAAAAAUGAUUCACAGCAUUUUGAACUCAUUUGAAUAAGAUAAAAUAGAUUCAUUUCACCUAAAUAAACAACGAGGCUUAUGAUUUCCUGAAAAGUUUGGCUCGUGCCAAAAUCAUUCUCAUACUCAGUUAUCAGGGAUACCUUGGCCGAGGCUAUCACAACCGAGUCCGCCAAGGCUGUUAAAAAGUUAUGUAUGCAUAAAUCAUAUUUUUAUUUUGAAAACAUAGUCGUUCCUUGGCGUUGGCUGAGUUCACCCUCAAGUGGUUGUUUGGCGUGAAGUGAACUCUAAAGUUUUAACCUCAGGAGUUAUCCAACGCACCUCUCAUACUGAGGUAUGAAUAUAAUAAGGUUACCGUGCCCCUCUAAUAGGAUGGUCCACGAAACCUGUCCACUGCAGCGACCAAUUAUAACCCACCAAUUCAAUAAAAUUCAAUAGCAUGACAUGGUAAUUAUUUUAUUUUACAGCCUUUCAAGGCAAAUCAACAGUUCAUACUUUUUCAGCACAUUUACCAAUUUAACCAUUCAUGCCAAUAUUAUCAUAAGCCAUUCAAUUCAAACCAUGACUUAUAACACAGCAAUUAGUCUCCAAUUACUCCAUUUUCAAAACCAUCUUUCAAUUUCAAGACAAUUUUAUAAAAUCAUUUCAUUUAAUCACAUUUUGUUUAUAAAACAUAAAGAUUUACCAUUUAAACUCAUUUUUUAUAAAAUUACAAAAACGAAUUAAAAUUCACUUCAGAUAAUCAAGAUGAUGAUAAGGUUACUCACUGUAAUGGAAAUCGAGUUUCGAGUACUCUAAUUCUUGAUCCUCGGGUACUAUCUCUUUACUUUUGCCAGAAUGCUCACCACCUAGACAUAAUGCACAAUAAGCCAUUUACUACAUUUGUGCUAAAUUGUUAUAAAUCCAAUUCAGGCUUUAUACUAAUGCAUGAAAUGGGAUGUAAAUUGUUCGAUUAUCGUCUAAACACGGUGUUCUACACAAAUUCAAUUGUGUACCUAAAUAAAACGAUAUUAGCCUAAUUCGAUCUAUCACUCGAUUAAUUGGCAAAUAUGUCCAAUUCAACUCCAAUAAUUCCAUUUUUCUUCCAAUUCUCCAAACCAUCAAACACAAGUCAAAUAACUUGAAAUAUGGCAAAAUCAUCCUCACAUUUUCUCUUGAAAAAUUCAGCCAUGGUGGGUGCAUCAACACUAUGAUUUUUUCUACUUGAUUUUAUUACCCUAAUUCAUCAUUUCCUAACCAAUUCACUUGAAAUAAAAUCAAAUACACCAUCAACACUCUACAAGGAAGAUUCAGCCAAUGAUGAACUCAUGAGGAAUAUGUGAAUUUCAAGCUUAAUUCUUAUACUUAACACCAUAAACAACUAAAAACAUCCAUAUAUCUUAAAAAUCUAUCUAAAUCAUCAUCAAAUUCUCUCUUCUAGGGUUUGAUCAGCACAUUAUCCUUCAUAAUAUCUUGUGAUUCAACAAUGGAAAAUGCAAAAUAAUGCUUAAGAAAGAGAGAUCUCAAGCUUAAUUGAAAAAUCUUACCUUUUUUUCACUUGUUUCCUUGAAUUUUCACACUUUUCCCUUGAAUUUUUCCACCUAGGGUUUUGUUCUUCCUUUUCUUCCUUUGUUCUUGCUUUGGCCGGC